UACAGAGGUCUCAAGCGUUGUUCGGAUUCAUUGGGCGUAAAGGGUGCGUAGGCGGCGCGGUAAGUCGGGUGUGAAAUCUCGGAGCUUAACUCCGAAACUGCAUUCGAUACUGCCGUGCUUGAGGACUGGAGAGGAGACUGGAAUUUACGGUGUAGCGGUGAAAUGCGUAGAUAUCGUAAGGAAGACCAGUGGCGAAGGCGGGUCUCUGGACAGUUCCUGACGCUGAGGCACGAAGGCCAGGGGGAGCAAACGGG
This 254-nucleotide ribosomal RNA is filed under the name uncultured bacterium. RNAcentral's name for it is "partial 16S ribosomal RNA". It matches the Rfam family "Bacterial small subunit ribosomal RNA", at positions 524 to 776 of the family's 1533-position model. The record is from RNAcentral.